This 494-nucleotide ribosomal RNA is filed under the name uncultured bacterium. RNAcentral's name for it is "partial 16S ribosomal RNA". It matches the Rfam family "Bacterial small subunit ribosomal RNA", at positions 28 to 507 of the family's 1533-position model. The record is from RNAcentral.
GACGAACGCUGGCGGCGUGCUUAACACAUGCAAGUCGAACGGAAAGGCCUGCUUUCCCUUGUGGAUUGCGGGUGCUCGAGUGGCGAACGGGUGAGUAACACGUGAGUGAUCUGCCCCCAACUUGGGUAUAAGCCUGGGAAACUGGGUCUAAUUCCCGAUAGGACUGCAGGGUGGUGCCUGUGGUGGAAAACGAUUUUCUAGUGGUUGGGGAUGAGCUCGCGGCCUAUCAGCUUGUUGGUGGGGUAAUGGCCUACCAAGGCGGCGACGGGUAGCCGGCCUGGGAGGGUGGACGGCGCCAUUGGGACUGGGAUACUGCCCAGACUCCUACGCGAGGCAGCAGUGGGGAAUAUUGAACAAUGGGCGGACGCCUGAUGCAGCGACGCCGAGUGGGGGAUGACGGCCUUCGGGUUGUAAACUCCUUUCGACCGCGAGGAAGCCACCUGGUUGGAAGGGUGGUGACGGUAGUGGUAGAAGAAGCACCGGCUAACUACGUG